GACGAACGCUGGCGGCGUGCUUAACACAUGCAAGUGGUGCGACGAACCAGGGCUUGCCCUGGGGCAAAGCCGCGAACGGGUGAGUAACACGUGAGUAACCUGCCCCGAUGACCGGGACAACCCGAGGAAACUCGGGCUAAUACCGGAUGUGGCGCACAGGCAUCAGCCUGUUCGCUAAAGGAAGCUUCGGCCUCCGCAUUGGGAGGGGCUCGCGGCCCAUUAGCUUGUUGGUGGGGAACGGCCUACCAAGGCAACGAUGGGUAGCUGGUCUGAGAGGACGAUCAGCCACACUGGGACUGAGACACGGCCCAGACUCCUACGGGAGGCAGCAGUGGGGAAUCUUGCGCAAUGCGCGAAAGCGUGACGCAGCAACGCCGC
This 378-nucleotide ribosomal RNA is filed under the name uncultured bacterium. RNAcentral's name for it is "bacterial SSU rRNA". It matches the Rfam family "Bacterial small subunit ribosomal RNA", at positions 28 to 400 of the family's 1533-position model. The record is from RNAcentral.